Molecule: ribosomal RNA, 579 nt
Filed under: uncultured bacterium
Lineage: Bacteria
Description: partial 16S ribosomal RNA
Rfam family: Bacterial small subunit ribosomal RNA
Source: RNAcentral
UAAGGAAUAUUGGUCAAUGGGCGGAAGCCUGAACCAGCCAUGCCGCGUGCAGGAAGACGGCCCUACGGGUUGUAAACUGCUUUUGUACGGGAAUAAACCUUGGUACGUGUACCAAGCUGAAUGUACCGUAAGAAUAAGGAUCGGCUAACUCCGUGCCAGGCAGCCGCGGUAAUACGGAGGAUCCGAGCGUUAUCCGGAUUUAUUGGGUUUAAAGGGUGCGUAGGCGGCUUUUUUAAGUCAGGGGUGAAAGACGGCAGCUCAACUGUCGCAGUGCCUUUGAUACUGAAGAGCUUGAAUGCACUUGAAGUAGGCGGAAUGUGACAAGUAGCGGUGAAAUGCAUAGAUAUGUCACAGAACACCAAUUGCGAAGGCAGCUUACUAAAGUGUGAUUGACGCUGAGGCACGAAAGCGUGGGGAUCAAACAGGAUUAGAUACCCUGGUAGUCCACGCCCUAAACGAUGAACACUCGAUGUUGGCGAUAUAUGGUCAGCGUCUAAGCGAAAAGCGUUAAGUGUUCCACCUGGGGGAGUACGCCCCGCAAGGGGUGAAACUUAAAGGGAAUUGACGGGGUCAUAGCUG